Oncorhynchus keta (chum salmon) is the source of this 723-nucleotide long non-coding RNA. RefSeq lists it as uncharacterized. NCBI's taxonomy places the organism in Eukaryota, Metazoa, Chordata, Actinopteri, Salmoniformes, Salmonidae. The record is from RefSeq and is a predicted model, not a curated record. The transcript is spliced from 5 exons.
CGUGGUGUUAGAGGAAGGUCCUCCUCAGUGACGUGGUGAUACAGAGGGAGGUCCUCCUCAGUGACGUGGUGUUAGAGGGAGGUCCUCCUCAGUGACAUGGUGUUAGAGAGGGAGGUCCUCCUCAGUGACGUGAUGUUAGAGAGGGAGGUCCUCCUCAGUGAUGUGGUGUUAGAGAGGGAGGUCCUCCUCAGUGACGUGGUGUUAGAGGGAGGUCCUCCUCAGUGACGUGGUGAUAGAGAGGGAGGUCCUCCUCAGUGACGUGGUGUUAGAGGGAGGUCCUCCUCAGUGACGUGGUGUUAGAGGGAGGUCCUCCUCAGUGACGUGGUGUUAGAGGGAGGUCCUCCUCAGUGACGUGGUGUUAGAGGGAGGUCCUCCUCAGUGAUGUGGUGUUAGAGGGAGGUCCUCCUCAGUGACGUGGUGUUAGAGGGAGGUCCUCCUCAGUGAUGUGGUGUUAGAGAGGGAGGUCCUCCUCAGUGAUGUGGUGUUAGAGAGGGAGGUCCUCCUCAGUGACGUGGUGUUAGAGGGAGGUCCUCCUCAGUGACGUGGUGUUAGAGGGAGGUCCUCCUCAGUGAUGUGGUGUUAGAGGGAGGUCCUCCUCAGUGAUGUGGUGUUAGAGGGAGGUCCUCCUCAGUGAUGUGGUGUUAGAGAGGGAGGUCCUCCUCAGUGAUGUGGUGUUAGAGAGGGAGGUCCUUUCUAACUACAGUAGAAAUAGUAGAAUGUCUU